CCCAUCGUCGCGGGUUUCGUCCGUUUUUCUACACAAUAAGUGAAAUUCAAAUGACACGGUCGCCGAUGCAGUCGGCACAUUCGAGGUCAAGACCUCGUUCGUGUCAUUUGCGGUCGUCCUAUUCACAGGUAGGUAUAAUUGUGUGCCGGGCACAAAUGGCCCAAAUUUUUUUCGGGGUAACUCAAGUCUGUCCCCAUAAUAUGGGAAGGGAUUUCGUUAUUCGUUACAAUGUAAAUUAUCGCGUUUUUAAUCCACGGUUAAAUGAAAUCUAUGCGUAAAUCUUGCGCGAAAAACAUAAACCGUCAGCGUAUUUGAAGAAGAUUAAUUUUUUCUAAUUUCAGGGGUUUCACGUUUGUAAAUAUUGAAAAUAGCGGCCGUUUUUAUCGUGUUUUAUCGUAAUUUAUUUCCCGCGUAUGCACAACACAGUAGGUUUUUUUACACGAUUAGUGGUACCAUUGUUCAAACAAUGUAGAACGUUUACAACAUUUUUUUUUUUUUUUUUCAAUAAUUAUAAAUCCGUAUUCGAGUUUAAUUUUUAAAAACGAUGUAUCCUUUGUACUAUACGUACUUUAAACUGGUAGGACUUGGUAGGCACUUUGGGGGACUAAGUCUCUCCAAGCUCCCCCCACCCCAAUUUGCGCCUAUGUCCGGGGCACUUGUGGUCAUGAUAUAAAAUACUAAAUAAACAAGGUGUACACUAUUGCUCACCCAUACUACGAAUAAUGAUAUUAUAAUAUUACGAAUUAUUUAUGAUAAAUUGUUUGUUUUAAUUUCCAGCCUAAUAGGAGGUUUUCCUUUCAUUCUCUCAGUCAGCCAUCAUCAAUAUCUGUCAGUGGAAUUUAUAAUGUUGAUAUAUCGUUUUCCGGCACCGGCCGCCUCAACAGUCAUGUCCAUAAUAUUUCUUUACAAGUACACUUCGGAAAGGAAGUGUGUUUGCAGCUGUAGAGUAAAAUUUCCUAAUUUCCAAUGGUUUGUAUACACAUUAAAAUCAUU
This is a non-coding RNA of Cinara cedri, 993 nucleotides long. NCBI's taxonomy places the organism in Eukaryota, Metazoa, Arthropoda, Insecta, Hemiptera, Aphididae. The record is from the annotation of a GenBank genome assembly.